RNAcentral lists this ribosomal RNA (427 nucleotides) under uncultured bacterium. RNAcentral describes it as "partial 16S ribosomal RNA". It matches the Rfam family "Bacterial small subunit ribosomal RNA", at positions 355 to 774 of the family's 1533-position model. The record is from RNAcentral.
UGGGGAAUAUUGCACAAUGGGCGCAAGCCUGACGCAGCCAUGCCGCGUGUAUGAAGAAGGCCUUCGGGUUGUAAAGUACUUUCAGCGAGGAGGAAGGCGUUGUGGUUAAUAACCGCAACGAUUGACGUUACUCGCAGAAGAAGCACCGGCUAACUCCGUGCCAGCAGCCGCGGUAAUACGGAGGGUGCAAGCGUUAAUCGGAAUUACUGGGCGUAAAGCGCACGCAGGCGGUCUGUCAAGUCGGAUGUGAAAUCCCCGGGCUCAACCUGGGAACUGCAUCCGAAACUGGCAGGCUAGAGUCUUGUAGAGGGGGGUAGAAUUCCAGGUGUAGCGGUGAAAUGCGUAGAGAUCUGGAGGAAUACCGGUGGCGAAGGCGGCCCCCUGGACAAAGACUGACGCUCAGGUGCGAAAGCGUGGGGAGCAAACA